RNAcentral lists this long non-coding RNA (274 nucleotides) under Mytilus galloprovincialis (Mediterranean mussel). Lineage: Eukaryota; Metazoa; Mollusca; Bivalvia; Mytilida; Mytilidae. The record is from RNAcentral.
UCAGGGGAGUGAGGUUUCAUGACAAUUACCUACAUAAAUAAAUAUACCGGAGUUGAAUUACACUACCCGCCCUCUUUGGUCGCAGCACUUUCUACCCCGUGUGUCACUCAUCUGAGUUUUAUUUAAAUUGAUUUUGUCGUAGAAAUAAGAGACUAAUGUGGCGUCAGUCAAAAUGAGAAAAACAGAGACAAAUACAUACCCAGAUCUUAAAAAAUAAGAUGACAAAUAGGACGAAAUAUGUGCUCAGAAAAGAUGAGCAAUUCCAAUAAUGAAU